UCCGGUUGAUCCUGCCAGAGGCCGCUGCUAUCCGGCUGGGACUAAGCCAUGCUAGUCUAGGGGCUUGUACUCCUUCGGGGGUGCAAGCACCGGCGGACGGCUCAGUAACACGUGGACAACCUGCCCUCGGGUGGGGGAUAACCCCGGGAAACUGGGGCUAAUCCCCCAUAGGUGAUGGGUGCUGGAAUGCCCCAUCUCCGAAAGCGCUUAGCGCCCGAGGAUGGGUCUGCGGCGGAUUAGGUAGUUGGUGGGGUAACGGCCCACCAAGCCUAAGAUCCGUACGGGCUGUGGGAGCAGGAGCCCGGAGAUGGACCCUGAGACAAGGGUCCAGGCCCUACGGGGCGCAGCAGGCGCGAAACCUCCGCAAUGCGGGAAACCGCGACGGGGUUAGCCGGAGUGCCCGUGCAUUGCACGGGCUGUCGGGGUGCCUAAACAGCACCCCAUAACAAGGGCCGGGCAAGGCCGGUGGCAGCCGCCGCGGUAAGACCGGCGGCCCGAGUGGCGGCCACUCUUAUUGGGCCUAAAGCGUCCGUAGCCGGCCCAGUAAGUCCCCCGGGAAAUCUGGUCGCUUAACGAUCAGACUUCCGGGGGAUACUGGCUGGGCUAGGGACCGGGAGAGGCCGAGGG
This 627-nucleotide ribosomal RNA is filed under the name uncultured archaeon. Its description in RNAcentral is "bacterial SSU rRNA". It matches the Rfam family "Archaeal small subunit ribosomal RNA", at positions 1 to 615 of the family's 1478-position model. The record is from RNAcentral.